GCCAGGGUGGCGGAAUUGGCAGACGCGCGGGACUCAAAAUCCCGUGGUCCUUACGGACCGUGCGGGUUCGACUCCCGCCCUUGGCACCA
Molecule: transfer RNA, 89 nt
Filed under: Candidatus Acetothermia bacterium
Lineage: Bacteria; Candidatus Bipolaricaulota
Also listed under: 1 other name
Description: tRNA-Leu
Rfam family: tRNA
About the family: Transfer RNA (tRNA) molecules are approximately 80 nucleotides in length. Their secondary structure includes four short double-helical elements and three loops (D, anti-codon, and T loops).
Source: RNAcentral